CCGAGCGGCCUCUACGUCAGCGCCCCGGGUGGCGCCGCCUCCGCCCGCCGGCCUGGGCCGCCGCUCCGCCGCGGAAAGGCGGGCCGGGACCGCGGAGAGAAGGCGGGCCGGGAACCCGCCGGGGCCUAAGUGGGUCUGCGGAUCCCGCCAGGGGCCAGAUCGGGCCUGGGGACCCCGCUGGGGAACAAGGUGGCACACUUGGCGAACCUCAGCCAGACACCUCCGGAUAUUGCUGCCACUUUAGAGCCCCUGCCCCGCAAUCUACCUUCUGUCUCUGUGAACACGACUCCUCUGGGGACCUCGGAGAAGUGGAGUCACAGGAUUUGUCCUUUAAUGACCGUUCACGGAGCAUGAUGUUCUCAAGGUUCAUCUACAUUUUAACUGUCAGGAUAUUCUUCCCUUUAAGCCUGAGUGAUACUCUAUGGUGUGGAGUGACAUCUGGUGUGUCCAUUCAUUACUGGGGGACAGUUGAGUUGUUCCCACCUUUUGACUAUAGUGUGAAUUAUUCUGCUGUAAACGUGUAUACAAAUAUCUGUUUAAGGCCCUGCUUUCAGUUGUAUGUGUGUAGAAGUGGAAUUGCUGAAUCAUAUGGUAUUUCUAUUUUUAACUUUUUGAGGAACCACCAUAUUGUUUUCCACAGCACUGCAUGGAUUCAGUCAAUAGAGCCCAGGGUUCUGACUUCUCCACAUCCUUGUCAACAUGUAUUAUUUUCUGGUU
Long non-coding RNA from Manis pentadactyla (Chinese pangolin), 717 nucleotides. RefSeq lists it as uncharacterized. The record is from RefSeq and is a predicted model, not a curated record. The transcript has 3 exons. Lineage: Eukaryota; Metazoa; Chordata; Mammalia; Pholidota; Manidae.